RNAcentral lists this ribosomal RNA (417 nucleotides) under uncultured bacterium. RNAcentral's name for it is "bacterial SSU rRNA". It matches the Rfam family "Bacterial small subunit ribosomal RNA", at positions 355 to 768 of the family's 1533-position model. The record is from RNAcentral.
UGAGGAAUAUUGGUCAAUGGGCGCAAGCCUGAACCAGCCAUCCCGCGUGCAGGAAGACGGCGCUAUGCGUUGUAAACUGCUUUUCCAGGGAGAGAAACUUGCGCACGUGUUGCGCAAUUGACGGUACCCUGGGAAUAAGCAUCGGCUAACUCCGUGCCAGCAGCCGCGGUAAUACGGAGGAUGCGAGCGUUAUCCGGAUUCAUUGUGUUUAAAGGGUGCGUAGGCGGACUAUUAAGUCAGUGGUGAAAUCCUUCAGCUUAACUGCAGAACUGCCAUUGAUACUGAUAGCCUUGAGUUUGGUUAAGGUAGGCGGAAUGUGUAAUGUAGCGGUGAAAUGCUUAGAUAUUACACAGAACACCAAUUGCGUAGGCAGCUUACUGAGCCAACACUGACGCUGAGGCACGAAAGCGUGGGGAU